AAACGCGAAGCCGUAGCGAAAGCGAGUCUGAAUAGGGCGCUUAGUCAGAUGCUGCAGACCCGAAACGAAGUGAUCUAUCCAUGAGCAAGUUGAAGCUAGUGUAAGAACUAGUGGAGGACUGAACCCAUAGGCGUUGAAAAGCCCCGGGAUGACUUGUGGAUAGGGGUGAAAGGCCAAUCAAACUUCGUGAUAGCUGGUUCUCUCCGAAAUAUAUUUAGGUAUAGCGUUGUGUCGUAAUAUAAGGGGGUAGAGCACUGAAUGGGCUAGGGCAUACACCAAUGUACCAAACCCUAUCAAACUCCGAAUACCUUAUAUGUAAUCACAGCAGUCAGGCGGCGAGUGAUAAAAUCCGUCGUCAAGAGGGAAACAACCCAGACUACCAGCUAAGGUCCCUAAAUCUUACUUAAGUGGAAAACGAUGUGAAGUUACUUAAACAACCAGGAGGUUGGCUUAGAAGCAGCCAUCCUUUAAAGAAAGCGUAAUAGCUCACUGGUCUAGUGAUUUUGCGCGGAAAAUAUAACGGGGCUAAAGUAAGUACCGAAGCUGUAGACUUGCGCACAACUUAGAUUAUUUAAGUUUAGAAUAUGAGAAACUAAGUUAUAUGUUUAGUUAUAUUUUUACUGAUUUUUAUAGAGUAAAGAUAGAAAUAAAACUUAGUAAAAUCAGUAAAAAUAUUCUUAGACUAAAGUUAAGUAGUUUAAGUUGUGUGCAAGUGGUAGGAGAGCGUUCUAUUUGCGUCGAAGGUAUACCGGUAAGGAGUGCUGGAGCGAAUAGAAGUGAGCAUGCAGGCAUGAGUAGCGAUAAUUAAUGUGAGAAUCAUUAACGCCGUAAACCCAAGGUUUCCUACGCGAUGCUCGUCAUCGUAGGGUUAGUCGGGUCCUAAGUCGAGUCCGAAAGGGGUAGACGAUGGCAAAUUGGUUAAUAUUCCAAUACCAACAUUAGUGUGCGAUGGAAGGACGCUUAGGGCUAAGGGGGCUAGCGGAUGGAAGUGCUAGUCUAAGGUCGUAGGAGGUUAUACAGGCAAAUCCGUAUAACAAUACUCCGAGAACUGAAAGGCUUUUUGAAGUCUUCGGAUG
This 1076-nucleotide ribosomal RNA is filed under the name Campylobacter coli. RNAcentral's name for it is "partial 23S ribosomal RNA". It matches the Rfam family "Bacterial large subunit ribosomal RNA", at positions 656 to 1599 of the family's 2925-position model. Lineage: Bacteria; Pseudomonadati; Campylobacterota; Epsilonproteobacteria; Campylobacterales; Campylobacteraceae. The record is from RNAcentral.